Molecule: ribosomal RNA, 266 nt
Filed under: uncultured bacterium
Lineage: Bacteria
Description: partial 16S ribosomal RNA
Rfam family: Bacterial small subunit ribosomal RNA
Source: RNAcentral
UAGCAGAGACCUCAAGCGUUUAUCCGGAAUCAUUGGGCGUAAAGCGUACCGGAUAGGUGGUUAAUACAAGUCAGAAGUGAAAUUCCCAAAGCUUAACUUUGGGUCUGUCUUUUGAAACUGUAUAACUAGAAGGGCAAAGGAGGGAAGCUGGAACAAACGGUGUAGUAGUGAAAUGCGUUGAUAUCGUUUGGAACACCAAUAGCGUAGGCAGGCUUCUGGGUGCCACUUGGACACUGCUAGGACGAAAGCGUGGGGAGCGAAGUGGG